GGGGUGACAGAAAUCAUGGCUGAAGGUGGAGAACUGGAGUUCGUAAAGAGGAUCAUUCAUGACAGCCUGCAGCUCAAGAAACGCUUGCGGUGGUACAGUUGCAUGUUGGGUAAGAAAUGCAGCUUGGCACCUUUGAAGGAGGAGCUGAGAAAACAAGGGCUGCUCAUGAGCCUGAAAUGGUCUACAGUGUGAUCACAUCUGGUCAGCUUCAAAGUAAACCUUUGAAGUAUGUAGCAGCUGGCAGUUUUUUUUUCUGAUAUCACGAGGAACUAUCUGCAGAAAAAAAAGCUAUUUUGAGCAAAAUAUUCUU
Molecule: long non-coding RNA, 310 nt
Organism: Thalassophryne amazonica
Lineage: Eukaryota; Metazoa; Chordata; Actinopteri; Batrachoidiformes; Batrachoididae
Exons: 3
Source: RefSeq, a predicted model, not a curated record